Molecule: ribosomal RNA, 473 nt
Filed under: uncultured bacterium
Lineage: Bacteria
Description: bacterial SSU rRNA
Rfam family: Bacterial small subunit ribosomal RNA
Source: RNAcentral
GCAGAGCAUCCUACGGGAGGCAGCAGUGGGGAAUAUUGCACAAUGGGGCGCAAGCCUGAUGCAGCCAUGCCGCGUGUAUGAAGAAGGCCUUCGGGUUGUAAAGUACUUUCAGCAGUGAGGAAGGUGGGUAUGUUAAUAGCAUAUUCAUUUGACGUUAGCUGCAGAAGAAGCACCGGCUAACUCCGUGCCAGCAGCCGCGGUAAUACGGAGGGUGCGAGCGUUAAUCGGAAUUACUGGGCGUAAAAGCGCAUGCAGGUGGUUUGUUAAGUCAGAUGUGAAAGCCCGGGGCUCAACCUCGGAAUUGCAUUUGAAACUGGCAAACUAGAGUACUGUAGAGGGGGUAGAAUUUCAGGUGUAGCGGUGAAAUGCGUAGAGAUCUGAAGGAAUACCGGUGGCGAAGGCGGCCCCCUGGACAGAUACUGACACUCAGAUGCGAAAGCGUGGGGAGCAAACAGGAUUAGAUACCCUGGUAG